AGUCGACGAAGAAGUACCUUAUUGUCUGAUUGGGGAACGGGUGAGUAACGCGUUGGUGACCUGCCUCUUACAGAGGGAUAACAGUCCGAAAGGAUUGCUAAUACCCCAUGUGGUCGUUUGGAUUAGAUGCCUUAUGACUAAACGGAUUUAUUCGCUUCGAUAGGGGCCUGCGUCCCAUCAUCUAUGUGGAAAGGUAAUGGCCUACCAGGGACAACACGGAUACGGGACCUGAGAGCGAGCCCCCCCACUGUGGAACUGACACACGGUCCAUACACCUACGGGUGGCAGCUGUAGGGAAUAUUGGUUAAUCUGGGAAACCGGCAACCAGCCACGCCGCGUGCACGAUGAAGGCCUUCGGGUUGUAAAGUGCUUUUUGAAAGGAAGAGGAAGGACACUACUUUCAGAAUAAACUUCGGCUAACUACAUGCCACCAGCCGCGGUAAAACGUAUGAAGCGAGCGUUAUCCGGAUUUACUGGGCGUAAAGCGUGUGUAGGCGGUUUGACAAGUUGGAUGUGAAAGCUCCUGGCUUAACUGGGAGAGGUCGUUCAAAACUGUCAGACUUGAGAGUGGGGAGGGAGGUGGAAUUCCGGUGUGUAGUGGUGAAAUGCGUAGAUAUCCGGAGGAACACCAGUGGCGAAAGCGGCCUCCUGGCCCAUUUCUGACGCUCAGACACGAAAGCUAAAGUAGCAACAGGAUUAGAGACCCCGGUAGUCUUAGCUGUAAACGAUGUGAACUUAGUGUCGGUGGGUUUAAAUCCAUCGGUACUGAAGCACACGCGAUAAGUUCGCCCGCCUGGGGACUACGGAUGCAAGGAUAAAACUCAAAGGGAAUUGACCG
RNAcentral lists this ribosomal RNA (838 nucleotides) under uncultured bacterium. RNAcentral describes it as "bacterial SSU rRNA". It matches the Rfam family "Bacterial small subunit ribosomal RNA", at positions 66 to 916 of the family's 1533-position model. The record is from RNAcentral.